GCGGCCAUGGCGUAAUGGCAGCGUAAGGGACUGUGGAUCCCUUGGCCCGAGUUCGAUUCUCGGUGGCCGCCCCA
RNAcentral lists this transfer RNA (74 nucleotides) under Candidatus Woesearchaeota archaeon. Its description in RNAcentral is "tRNA-His". It matches the Rfam family "tRNA". Rfam says of the family: Transfer RNA (tRNA) molecules are approximately 80 nucleotides in length. Their secondary structure includes four short double-helical elements and three loops (D, anti-codon, and T loops). Further hydrogen bonds mediate the characteristic L-shaped molecular structure. tRNAs have two regions of fundamental functional importance: the anti-codon, which is responsible for specific mRNA codon recognition, and the 3' end, to which the tRNAs corresponding amino acid is attached (by aminoacyl-tRNA synthetases). tRNAs cope with the degeneracy of the genetic code in two manners: having more than one tRNA (with a specific anti-codon) for a particular amino acid; and 'wobble' base-pairing, i.e. permitting non-standard base-pairing at the 3rd anti-codon position. Lineage: Archaea; Nanobdellati; Candidatus Woesearchaeota. The record is from RNAcentral.